ACUACUUUGGCAGAUUAGUGCAUUGGAUUUAGAAUUCAAGUAUGUAGAGAAGGCUUUACAAGUAGUA
RNAcentral lists this transfer RNA (67 nucleotides) under Conocephalus gladiatus. Its description in RNAcentral is "tRNA-Leu". It matches the Rfam family "tRNA". From Rfam's summary of the family: Transfer RNA (tRNA) molecules are approximately 80 nucleotides in length. Their secondary structure includes four short double-helical elements and three loops (D, anti-codon, and T loops). Further hydrogen bonds mediate the characteristic L-shaped molecular structure. tRNAs have two regions of fundamental functional importance: the anti-codon, which is responsible for specific mRNA codon recognition, and the 3' end, to which the tRNAs corresponding amino acid is attached (by aminoacyl-tRNA synthetases). tRNAs cope with the degeneracy of the genetic code in two manners: having more than one tRNA (with a specific anti-codon) for a particular amino acid; and 'wobble' base-pairing, i.e. permitting non-standard base-pairing at the 3rd anti-codon position. The record is from RNAcentral. Lineage: Eukaryota; Metazoa; Arthropoda; Insecta; Orthoptera; Tettigoniidae.